Molecule: ribosomal RNA, 2900 nt
Filed under: Klebsiella pneumoniae
Lineage: Bacteria; Pseudomonadati; Pseudomonadota; Gammaproteobacteria; Enterobacterales; Enterobacteriaceae
Description: bacterial LSU rRNA
Rfam family: Bacterial large subunit ribosomal RNA
Source: RNAcentral
UUAAGCGACUAAGCGUACACGGUGGAUGCCCUGGCAGUCAGAGGCGAUGAAGGACGUGCUAAUCUGCGAAAAGCGUCGGUAAGGUGAUAUGAACCGUUAUAGCCGGCGAUGUCCGAAUGGGGAAACCCAGUGCAAUUCGUUGCACUAUCGUUAACUGAAUACAUAGGUUAACGAGGCGAACCGGGGGAACUGAAACAUCUAAGUACCCCGAGGAAAAGAAAUCAACCGAGAUUCCCCCAGUAGCGGCGAGCGAACGGGGAGCAGCCCAGAGUCUGAAUCAGCUUGUGUGUUAGUGGAACGGUCUGGAAAGUCCGACGGUACAGGGUGAUAGUCCCGUACACCAAAAUGCACAGGUUGUGAACUCGAAGAGUAGGGCGGGACACGUGGUAUCCUGUCUGAAUAUGGGGGGACCAUCCUCCAAGGCUAAAUACUCCUGACUGACCGAUAGUGAACCAGUACCGUGAGGGAAAGGCGAAAAGAACCCCGGCGAGGGGAGUGAAAAAGAACCUGAAACCGUGUACGUACAAGCAGUGGGAGCACCUUCGGGUGUGACUGCGUACCUUUUGUAUAAUGGGUCAGCGACUUAUAUUCUGUAGCAAGGUUAACCGUAUAGGGGAGCCGCAGGGAAACCGAGUCUUAACUGGGCGUUAAGUUGCAGGGUAUAGACCCGAAACCCGGUGAUCUAGCCAUGGGCAGGUUGAAGGUUGGGUAACACUAACUGGAGGACCGAACCGACUAAUGUUGAAAAAUUAGCGGAUGACUUGUGGCUGGGGGUGAAAGGCCAAUCAAACCGGGAGAUAGCUGGUUCUCCCCGAAAGCUAUUUAGGUAGCGCCUCGUGAAUUCAUCUUCGGGGGUAGAGCACUGUUUCGGCUAGGGGGUCAUCCCGACUUACCAACCCGAUGCAAACUACGAAUACCGAAGAAUGUUAUCACGGGAGACACACGGCGGGUGCUAACGUCCGUCGUGAAGAGGGAAACAACCCAGACCGCCAGCUAAGGUCCCAAAGUCAUGGUUAAGUGGGAAACGAUGUGGGAAGGCACAGACAGCCAGGAUGUUGGCUUAGAAGCAGCCAUCAUUUAAAGAAAGCGUAAUAGCUCACUGGUCGAGUCGGCCUGCGCGGAAGAUGUAACGGGGCUAAACCAUGCACCGAAGCUGCGGCAGCGACACUAUGUGUUGUUGGGUAGGGGAGCGUUCUGUAAGCCUGCGAAGGUGACCUGUGAGGGUUGCUGGAGGUAUCAGAAGUGCGAAUGCUGACAUAAGUAACGAUAAAGCGGGUGAAAAGCCCGCUCGCCGGAAGACCAAGGGUUCCUGUCCAACGUUAAUCGAGGCAGGGUGAGUCGACCCCUAAGGCGAGGCCGAAAGGCGUAGUCGAUGGGAAACAGGUUAAUAUUCCUGUACUUGGUGUUACUGCGAAGGGGGGACGGAGAAGGCUAUGUUAGCCGGGCGACGGUUGUCCCGGUUUAAGCAUGUAGGCUGGUUGUCCAGGCAAAUCCGGAUAAUCAAGGCUGAGGUGUGAUGACGAGGUACUACGGUGCUGAAGUAACAAAUGCCCUGCUUCCAGGAAAAGCCUCUAAGCAUCAGGUAACAUUAAAUCGUACCCCAAACCGACACAGGUGGUCAGGUAGAGAAUACCAAGGCGCUUGAGAGAACUCGGGUGAAGGAACUAGGCAAAAUGGUGCCGUAACUUCGGGAGAAGGCACGCUGGUGUGUAGGUGAAGUCCCUGCGGAUGGAGCUGAGACCAGUCGAAGAUACCAGCUGGCUGCAACUGUUUAUUAAAAACACAGCACUGUGCAAACACGAAAGUGGACGUAUACGGUGUGACGCCUGCCCGGUGCCGGAAGGUUAAUUGAUGGGGUUAUCCGUAAGGAGAAGCUCUUGAUCGAAGCCCCGGUAAACGGCGGCCGUAACUAUAACGGUCCUAAGGUAGCGAAAUUCCUUGUCGGGUAAGUUCCGACCUGCACGAAUGGCGUAAUGAUGGCCAGGCUGUCUCCACCCGAGACUCAGUGAAAUUGAACUCGCUGUGAAGAUGCAGUGUACCCGCGGCAAGACGGAAAGACCCCGUGAACCUUUACUAUAGCUUGACACUGAACAUUGAGCCUUGAUGUGUAGGAUAGGUGGGAGGCUUUGAAGCGUGGACGCCAGUCUGCGUGGAGCCAACCUUGAAAUACCACCCUUUAAUGUUUGAUGUUCUAACGUUGGCCCCUUACCGGGGUUGCGGACAGUGUCUGGUGGGUAGUUUGACUGGGGCGGUCUCCUCCCAAAGCGUAACGGAGGAGCACGAAGGUUAGCUAAUCCUGGUCGGACAUCAGGAGGUUAGUGCAAUGGCAUAAGCUAGCUUGACUGCGAGCGUGACGGCGCGAGCAGGUGCGAAAGCAGGUCAUAGUGAUCCGGUGGUUCUGAAUGGAAGGGCCAUCGCUCAACGGAUAAAAGGUACUCCGGGGAUAACAGGCUGAUACCGCCCAAGAGUUCAUAUCGACGGCGGUGUUUGGCACCUCGAUGUCGGCUCAUCACAUCCUGGGGCUGAAGUAGGUCCCAAGGGUAUGGCUGUUCGCCAUUUAAAGUGGUACGCGAGCUGGGUUUAGAACGUCGUGAGACAGUUCGGUCCCUAUCUGCCGUGGGCGCUGGAGAAUUGAGGGGGGCUGCUCCUAGUACGAGAGGACCGGAGUGGACGCAUCACUGGUGUUCGGGUUGUCAUGCCAAUGGCACUGCCCGGUAGCUAAAUGCGGAAGAGAUAAGUGCUGAAAGCAUCUAAGCACGAAACUUGCCCCGAGAUGAGUUCUCCCUGAGACUUUAAGUCUCCUGAAGGAACGUUAAAGACGAUGACGUUGAUAGGCCGGGUGUGUAAGCGCAGCGAUGCGUUGAGCUAACCGGUACUAAUGAACCGUGAGGCUUAACCUU